UUCGUCCUGGCCAAAGUGGUCACCACAACAGAAUCGAAAGCUGUUUCUGCGCAGGUUCGAAACCUGCCGACAAGG
Molecule: non-coding RNA, 75 nt
Organism: Suillus subalutaceus
Lineage: Eukaryota; Fungi; Basidiomycota; Agaricomycetes; Boletales; Suillaceae
Source: the annotation of a RefSeq genome assembly